AUGAGAGGAAUUUAAGGGCAAAUAUAUUUAUAUAUAUAUUUGUGUAAAGCCUCGAUUUUUUUCUAAUUUAGUUUAAUUAAUUUAAUAUAAUUAUUGAAUACUAUGUUUUAGAAAAACCUAUAGUUUUCAUUUUCUUGAAUCUGAAGGAAUAAUAAAAAGGCUCCACUUUGAAACCUAAGCUCUUUACAAAUCUAUCGAUCUUUCUCCUGUUUUUUUCUUAAUUUUUUAAAAUUUUAUUUUUUGGUUGAGGUUUCUUCAGGGUUUCUUCUUCUCUAUGGUUCACACUUGUUGUGUUCACACCAUAUCCACAUAAAUCUUUCCUGGUUUUUUUUUUGUCUCUAUCUUUUUCUUUCUUUUUUCCUUUUCUGGAUCAGCAAUCUUUUGUUGGGUGCAAAAGAAAAAAAAACUUAAUAAUUUCAGGGGAUUUGUCUGGUUUUGCGUUUAAUAGUUGUUUAUGGAGGGACAUCAUCGCCAUCAUCAUCAUCAUCAGCAGCAACAUCUGCAGCAACAACAACAGCCUGUAAGUGUCAACGUUGAAGCUGAUAGGUUUCCUCAAUGGAGUGUUCAAGAGACAAAGGAUUUUUUAAUGAUCAGAGCAGAGCUGGAUCAAAGUUUCAUGGAGACCAAAAGGAACAAGCUGCUUUGGGAAGUUAUCUCCACCAGGAUGAGGGAAAAAGGUUAUAAUCGAAGCGCUGAACAGUGCAAGUGCAAGUGGAAAAACCUCUUUACUCGUUACAAGGGAUGUGGAACGGUUGACGCAGAAACUGUGCGGCAACAGUUCCCGUUUUACGACGAGUUGCAGGCUAUAUUCACGGCGAGGAUGCAAAGUGUUCUAUGUUCGGAAAGUGAAGGCGGAGGAGCUACCGGGUCAAAAAAAAAGGCAGCACAGGCGCAGCUAUCUUCCGACGAGGAAGACGAUACGGAGGAAAACGAGUACAGCUUUAGGAAGAAGAAGAAAGGGAAAACUGGUGGUGGGAGUAGUAGUAAGAGCGGCAGCAUUAAUAUAAAGGAAAUGUUAGAGGACUUCAUGAGACAACAGUUGCAGAUGGAAAUGCAAUGGAGGGAAGCUUUGGAGUCGAGAGAAAACGAGAGGCGGAUGAAGGAAAUGGAGUGGAGGCAAACCAUGGAAGCCCUUGAAAACGAGAGGAUAAUGAUGGAGAGAAGAUGGAGGGAAAGGGAAGAACAAAGGAGAAUAAGGGAAGAAGCUAGGGCUGAGAAGAGAGAUGCUCUCAUUACUGCACUUUUAAACAAGCUUAGAAGAGAAGAUCAAAUGUAGUGCAACUCCCAAAGAUUCACUCGAGUCUCCCCAGCAGUCUCAUUUUAUGGAUGACCUAGGCGACCAUGAACAAAAAAGGCUCCAAGGUCUAGAUAUAUGUUGGUGGUAGUUGAAGAAAUUAAAACAAUUAAUCUACAGCAAUCGAUCCACAAACGAUAGUGUUUCCAGGUAAUGCUUAUCAAAGUGAAUAUUCUAUCUAUAUAUGGAACAAAUAUACAUAGAUUUGUAGUGGACACUGUUGAAAAUGCUCCAUUAUUCUUGUUAAUGCCUCUCAACUUCUUCAAAGUGUGGCACCUUUCACUUACAUAUAUAUCUGCAUGUCUACAUUCAUACAUAUAUAUAUACAUGCACAUUCAUGAACGCAUGUGUGGGAGCUUCAGCAGCUAGAUUUUCAUUUUUCUUACAAUAAGAAAUUGUUUCAUGGGUUUCCAUCAACCCUAAAGUGGUUUGAAGGAUAUUAGUACUUUUUGAAUUACAUUAAUAUCGACCUUAGGGAUGUCAAAACAUGUGGUUGACUUUCUUGGAUUAGAUGCCUGGUGCCUUGUGCAUUUUCUGAUGUAUUACAUAUAUAUAUAUAUAUAUAUAUACAUAUGAACCAUACUCUCUAGAUUGUAUUCCCACUACACAAACUAAAAGAUGUCAUUGAAAAAGAUGAAAGGCUCCUAUCUUAAUGGAGAGUAGGUGGAGAUGGAAUGAGUCUUACUCAUUAAAUAAAGUUUUAAAUUCAAUUUUGUGAAAAAAAGAAAGUUGAGACACCUUUGCUUCUGUUUAAGAAUUUGAUGUAGUUCAGUUCUGAAUUUAAUUGAAAUUUAGUAUAGUUAUCAGAUAUCGAAUAGUCUUGAUUUUUAAGACGAAUGAUUUUUAUUUACCAGUAUUACCUAGCUAGCUCAACUUAGAAGCUAUAUUUCAUUUAAUUAAUGGCACAUAUAAUAAUUAAUAAUAUAUCAUUUAUGUGGAUUAGUCAUCAGCCCCAAUAUCUUUUUAUGUUCAUACUUGUUCAUAUUUGUCACUAUGAGAAUAAUUCAAUACCUUUCUUACUGUUCUAUUUAUUUCUGUGAACCUAAAUUUAAGUUUUAUUUUGUUUAUAUGUGUAUAUAUAUAGAUAUGGAUUAAGCAUAUCCCUUAACUAUAUUAUCCAUAUAGAUUUGGAUGAUUCUUAAAUCUAACCAACUCAAUCAAGGGAAAAAACCUUGGAGUUUAAUUUCUUUAUCUCCUUUCAUUUCAUAUGGUAUUUUAUGCAUUUGGGAUUAAUACUAUAUAUAUAUAUAGACAUGAUGAUAUUAGGAAUCUUGUACAAUAAUUAACUUUACGAGAGAUUUCACUUUCAAGGAGUUAAAAAUAUCUGGUGUUAGUGGUAAGAUGAUAACAAAAGGAUCAUGUGGGGGUAUGUUAUGUGCAUCCUAGCUAUCUAAUUAAGCACCUUCAAACAAGAAACAAAGGACUCAAGAUUGAUGUCCAUGCAUACUCAAAAUAUGAAAAGAUAUAUAUAAAUAAAAAAGUUUUCUGUAGCUAUAUCUGAAAAGUGAACUUUGUGAAUAAUGUUUCAUAUGUUUGUGACAAGUAGGGUCUCUCAUAGAUUUCUUACUUUUACUCCCUUUUUCACUAACCUUUUCUUUUACUUUAUAUGAUUCAUGGGUAAUCGAUAAUAUUAACAACUUGUUAUAAUUGGGUUCCCCUCCAUUUUUCCCAUAAUAUUUUUUUUUCAUUUUGUGCGAGAGAAAUUAAAUAUCAAGUGGUUUUGCCAUUGAUUGGUGUGUGUAGAUGAGGUUGCAGGGUGGCACUAGUUUUUGUCCCUUACCUGCAUGGCUUUUUUCAUCAUCAACUGGCAGAGGAAGAUGGGUUUGGUUUUGUUUCAAGUAAUUCUACUGUUUGCCUUGACUAUGUAAUCUGAUUUCAUUUUUUCACUUACGGUCAAAUCAUUGGUAGCUGCUGGUUUACAUAUUUGUAUGGCUUCUGUUUCAUAAACGGGUAAAUGUACAGUGGCAGCCUGGAUUACAUUUCAAAAAUAGGUAAAUUAGGAGUAAAUUAAAUUUUUUUUGUUAAAAAUUUUAUCUACUUUUACUAUUAAAAACUAAUUCUUAUAUAUCAACAUGAGAUAUACGUGGCAGCCA
This is an RNA transcript of Gossypium raimondii (Peruvian cotton), 3387 nucleotides long. It is a transcript of the gene named trihelix transcription factor GT-3b, with no coding region annotated. The transcript is spliced from 3 exons. The record is from RefSeq and is a predicted model, not a curated record. NCBI's taxonomy places the organism in Eukaryota, Viridiplantae, Streptophyta, Magnoliopsida, Malvales, Malvaceae.